This 435-nucleotide ribosomal RNA is filed under the name uncultured bacterium. Its description in RNAcentral is "bacterial SSU rRNA". It matches the Rfam family "Bacterial small subunit ribosomal RNA", at positions 355 to 786 of the family's 1533-position model. The record is from RNAcentral.
UGAGGAAUAUUGGUCAAUGGACGCAAGUCUGAACCAGCCAUGCCGCGUGCAGGAUGACGGCUCUAUGAGUUGUAAACUGCUUUUGUACGAGGGUAAACGCAGAUACGUGUAUCUGUCUGAAAGUAUCGUACGAAUAAGGAUCGGCUAACUCCGUGCCAGCAGCCGCGGUAAUACGGAGGAUCCAAGCGUUAUCCGGAUUUAUUGGGUUUAAAGGGUGCGUAGGCGGUUUUAUAAGUUAGAGGUGAAAAUUCGGGGCUCAACUCCGGACGUGCCUCUAAUACUGUAUGACUAGAGAUUAGAUGCGGUAGGCGGAAUGUAUGGUGUAGCGGUGAAAUGCGUAGAGAUCAUACAGAACACCGAUUGCGAAGGCAGCUUACCAAACUACAUCUGACGUUGAGGCACGAAAGCGUGGGGGAGCAAACAGGAUUAGAUACC